This 88-nucleotide small nucleolar RNA is filed under the name Erinaceus europaeus (western European hedgehog). The record is from RNAcentral. Lineage: Eukaryota; Metazoa; Chordata; Mammalia; Eulipotyphla; Erinaceidae.
AGUGCUGCAUGAGGGGCAAGUUUUUCACCAACACCACGAUGGUCUCUGGCCCAAUGAGUGGAGUUGGAUAGUAAUUCUUGCUACAAUA